GCCCCGGUAAACGGCGGCCGUAACUAUAACGGUCCUAAGGUAGCGAAAUUCCUUGUCGGGUAAGUUCCGACCUGCACGAAUGGCGUAAUGAUGGCCAGGCUGUCUCCACCCGAGACUCAGUGAAAUUGAACUCGCUGUGAAGAUGCAGUGUACCCGCGGCAAGACGGAAAGACCCCGUGAACCUUUACUAUAGCUUGACACUGAACAUUGAGCCUUGAUGUGUAGGAUAGGUGGGAGGCUUUGAAGUGUGGACGCCAGUCUGCAUGGAGCCGACCUUGAAAUACCACCCUUUAAUGUUUGAUGUUCUAACGUUGGCCCGUAAUCCGGGUUGCGGACAGUGUCUGGUGGGUAGUUUGACUGGGGCGGUCUCCUCCUAAAGAGUAACGGAGGAGCACGAAGGUUGGCUAAUCCUGGUCGGACAUCAGGAGGUUAGUGCAAUGGCAUAAGCCAGCUUGACUGCGAGCGUGACGGCGCGAGCAGGUGCGAAAGCAGGUCAUAGUGAUCCGGUGGUUCUGAAUGGAAGGGCCAUCGCUCAACGGAUAAAAGGUACUCCGGGGAUAACAGGCUGAUACCGCCCAAGAGUUCAUAUCGACGGCGGUGUUUGGCACCUCGAUGUCGGCUCAUCACAUCCUGGGGCUGAAGUAGGUCCCAAGGGUAUGGCUGUUCGCCAUUUAAAGUGGUACGCGAGCUGGGUUUAGAACGUCGUGAGACAGUUCGGUCCCUAUCUGCCGUGGGCGCUGGAGAACUGAGGGGGGCUGCUCCUAGUACGAGAGGACCGGAGUGGACGCAUCACUGGUGUUCGGGUUGUCAUGCCAAUGGCACUGCCCGGUAGCUAAAUGCGGAAGAGAUAAGUGCUGAAAGCAUCUAAGCACGAAACUUGCCCCGAGAUGAGUUCUCCCUGAGACUUAG
Molecule: ribosomal RNA, 909 nt
Filed under: Escherichia coli
Lineage: Bacteria; Pseudomonadati; Pseudomonadota; Gammaproteobacteria; Enterobacterales; Enterobacteriaceae
Description: partial 23S ribosomal RNA
Rfam family: Bacterial large subunit ribosomal RNA
Source: RNAcentral